This is a long non-coding RNA of Bombus pascuorum, 1112 nucleotides long. RefSeq lists it as uncharacterized. NCBI's taxonomy places the organism in Eukaryota, Metazoa, Arthropoda, Insecta, Hymenoptera, Apidae. The record is from RefSeq and is a predicted model, not a curated record. The transcript has 4 exons.
GUUUCCCCUCCAGCUGUGAACCCUGGUCUUUCUAUACAAUUUUCCCAUGCCUUCCCAUGCUGCGCCCCUCUACAUAUGCAUACAUUCAUAUACACACAGUUGGAUAAGCGCAGAAGGAUCGGUAAGGAAGGGUGAAAGUAGAAAUGAGGAGGGGCAGGUUUGUAGGAGUAGGAAGGGCGCUCCAGUUACUUGGUUCUACCUUCUACCCACGCUCCUGACCCACAAGAAAUUGAGUGGAGGCACCACUUCCUGUCAUAUUCAUGUCAUUUAGCAGCCUCUGUCGAUUGCUUGAUAGUGCUUAUUUCCUAUUUUUCCUUUUUUAUCACACGUCAGCCAUAAUUCUUCGAUGAAGUUAACUGCGAAACUUAUAACCAUCGAUAGGAAACAAGAUAAAUAUUCUGCACUAAUGCAAAAUUAUUGUUACGUACAUAUCGUACAUUCUUAUAAUUUCCCAAAUUUUUUACUUUGAGUAAAUAUAAGAAUAGAAAAUACAAGGAUAGGACAAUAUUUUAUUAAAAACAAAUGAACUGUAAAAAUACAAACAAAUUAGUCUUGCUUUUUAUUUUAAUUUCUGUAAAUGUGUUUUGUCCAAGUUGAACAAAAUUUUAUGUAAACGAUGAAACUUGUAUAUUCUAGUAAAAUUCAGAGCUAUAAUUCGUUAAAAGGUAAUUAAUGGAAUGGAAACUACACUGACUUUAACUAUACUAAUUUAACUAUGUUAAAAGUAGAAUGUCCCGUAAUCGUUUUGAAUCGCUAUUAGUAAACUUGCAUUUUGCAAAUAACGAAACUAUAGAACAGAAAAGCAGACUUGGAAAAGUUUUACCACUUAUAAACAUAUUGAUAGAUAAUUACCAAAAAAUUUUUUCACCAGGCAAAGAUAUUGUAGUCGACGAAUCAAUGGUUCCUUGGAGAGGACGACUAACAUUCCGGGAAUACAUACCGACGAAAUCACAUAAGUAUGGUAUAAAACUAUUCAAACUGUGUUCCACCGAAGGUUACGCAUGGUCUGCAAAAGUAUAUUACGGACGAGAUAUCACUGGAAGUAAGCAAGUUGGCAUAGUUGAAAACGUCUGCAUUGAACUUGCAGAUAAAUUGCUAAAUGAAGGACGAAC